GCUUCCUCAAGUGUUGCUCGGAAAAUAGAAGAAUGCGUAUCAUAGAGCAUCUAAUUGAUAUAGUAUCAAUGAUCUCAAACAUUUCGAAUUCCAAAUAGAAAACUUCCAAGGGAUCAGAUGGUUUUAAGAUUUAGUAACGAUCCGACAUUCAAUGACGAAGUCAUGACAGCUUAAAUUUUUAGCUAUAAAUCAAAUAGCAGAGGUUGAUCUUGGAUCAUCCUAAAUUUGAUCAAUUUUCUUAACAAAAAAAAGAAAGAAAGAUCUAAAAGAAUACUUCAUUAAGAUUUGAAUGCUGAUCCAAUUGUGGAUCCUUAAAAUGCAGUCCUUUGAUUUAUGGUUGUUAUACUACAAAUUGCAUAUAUUGAAGAAUAUAUCUGGAUCAUCAAAUAUUUAGAAGAUUCAAUAGUAGAUCAUCAAAUACAAUGCCACUGCAAGCCGAUUUAGUGGUCCCAAAAAUCCUGUUUGAUC
Molecule: long non-coding RNA, 468 nt
Filed under: Phoenix dactylifera (date palm)
Lineage: Eukaryota; Viridiplantae; Streptophyta; Magnoliopsida; Arecales; Arecaceae
Description: long non-coding RNA (PDAC_LNC009591)
Source: RNAcentral